GCAUCUGAGCAGAACCAUGUCAAAGUUCCUCUUGUACAACACAUCAUUCUUGUUCAAGUAAAAGCUUCCAACUAGCCUUCUCAGUGUCUUCUUGUCAUUCUUUGAUGCUCCUUCAGGAUACUCUUGGCUUUUGAGGAAAUUCUUAAUAUCAUAAAACCACAGCUUCCCAUCAAUAAUAGACUCGGCUGCAAACACAUACGCAGGCCUCUCGAGUCGAUUCACAGCAACAUGUGGCACAUGAUUCUGCCA
Molecule: long non-coding RNA, 249 nt
Filed under: Lathyrus oleraceus (garden pea)
Lineage: Eukaryota; Viridiplantae; Streptophyta; Magnoliopsida; Fabales; Fabaceae
Description: Pisum sativum (pea) long non-coding RNA (PSAT_LNC025664)
Source: RNAcentral